This 530-nucleotide ribosomal RNA is filed under the name uncultured Bacilli bacterium. RNAcentral's name for it is "bacterial SSU rRNA". It matches the Rfam family "Bacterial small subunit ribosomal RNA", at positions 73 to 586 of the family's 1533-position model. The record is from RNAcentral. Lineage: Bacteria; Bacillati; Bacillota; Bacilli.
CGGGAGCUUGCUCCCUUAGGUCAGCGGCGGACGGGUGAGUAACACGUGGGUAACCUGCCUGUAAGACUGGGAUAACUCCGGGAAACCGGGGCUAAUACCGGAUGCUUGAUUGAGCCGCAUGGUUCAAUUAUAAAAGGUGGCUUUCAGCUACCACUUACAGAUGGACCCGCGGCGCAUUAGCUAGUUGGUGAGGUAACGGCUCACCAAGGCGACGAUGCGUAGCCGACCUGAGAGGGUGAUCGGCCACACUGGGACUGAGACACGGCCCAGACUCCUACGGGAGGCAGCAGUAGGGAAUCUUCCGCAAUGGACGAAAGUCUGACGGAGCAACGCCGCGUGAGUGAUGAAGGUUUUCGGAUCGUAAAACUCUGUUGUUAGGGAAGAACAAGUACCGUUCGAAUAGGGCGGCACCUUGACGGUACCUAACCAGAAAGCCACGGCUAACUACGUGCCAGCAGCCGCGGUAAUACGUAGGUGGCAAGCGUUGUCCGGAAUUAUUGGGCGUAAAGCGCGCGCAGGCGGUUUCUUAA